Molecule: long non-coding RNA, 1629 nt
Organism: Quercus lobata
Lineage: Eukaryota; Viridiplantae; Streptophyta; Magnoliopsida; Fagales; Fagaceae
Exons: 3
Source: RefSeq, a predicted model, not a curated record
AGUCUCUCUCUCACUCAGAAUUCAGAAAAUCCAUUUACGAAUAAAGUCUCUCUCAAAAAAUUCUCUCUCUUUCUCUCAAAAUUGAAGCUCAUCUCAUCUCCGACGACGGGUUGAGGCGCGGUGGUCGGCAAUCUCAUCGCUGACGAUGAGCCAGCCUUUGAUAGACGGAGCCCUCUCCUCCGCCCCUUUGUCCGAUUACAGGUCUCUCUAUCUGUUUGAUAUUUCUCUUCCUCUCCAAUAAUAUAAUUUGGUGGCUAGGGUUUGGAAUCUGAAGUAUGGGUUGGAUUAUGAGGUUUGAACAUAUUAUAUUGAAGAGAUUCUUAAAAGGGAGUUGAUAAGUGUUAAUGGUGUUGUAUUUCAAUAGUAUCAAUUUAAUUUUUGUUUGCCUUGGGUUAUUGCACUUCAAUGGCUUUGUUCAACUUUACAUGGCAGAGAUUUUUUACACUCAUUUGUUUAUAAAACUUAAUAGAGCUUAUGAAUGUUAUAAAUUCAUUUUCAAGUUAUGAAGCUUGGAAUUGCUAAUCUUUUUCCCCCCUUUUAUUUGUUAUUGUUUUGUUCCAAUGAAUACAAAGCCUACAUUCUUUUUUUCUUUUUGUAGAAUCUUGUUUAUUCUUUUGUCGGUUUGUAUUUUUGAUAUUCGAGUAGUGAAUUUUUAUGGACUUGAUUAAUUCAAGUAAGAAUUUUUUCAUGAUUGGGAGCAGGUGCAGGAAACUAAUGUAAUGCAUGUACACAUAUGCAGUAUAUUGAUGCCUUAUGCAUCCAAAGAAGGAAAAGCUUAAAUAAAAAAUGAAGUUAUUUUAACUUAAUUAAACUCAGUAGCCAUUGCAAGAGAGGGAGAACCAGAGCUCGAAAGGAUUAGUUUUAUGAUGCUUUAAGUUAGUCAUAUGUAUUUUUUUAAUUAUUCCAUCCAGAGUGUAAUAAGCUAUUAGCAUUGCUAGGGACAAAAUGUUGUUUCUAAAAGCAGAAGGGAAGUCCCUAACAUUACCCAAGCCUCAAGAGUGAUAAAUGCAGCAGAAUUUUCUUGUCCAUAUUGGUAUCCUCUUGAGGUGAAGUCAUUGAUACAUAAAAUACUUGAUCCCAAUCCUAAAAAUGUACCCUGGCUUCAUUGUCAUGAUACAAUGAAAUGGACUGCAUUGGUAAUGGCCAUGACUCUAUCUCUAACAUGUUUCUUUGGCAGUUCUCUUCCUUGUAUGUUGCCGCCAAUCCUAUAAACUUAGAAAUGGUGUAACUGCUAGUUUUGAGCCAGGUUAAUGCCUUCCACUAAUGCACCAGUCUGAUUGUAGCAUCGUUGGGCUACAAAUUGCAAGACACGCAACUCAUGAUCCUCAAUGGAUAUAUUUUUAACAGUGAAAUCACCUGUCUUCGCUGUUACAUUGUCCUCACAAGUGAUGUAAAUUUUCUUAUUUAGAUAACAGCCAUAAGUCAAGCCAAAUGGAAAUGGUAUUUUUACAUUUCCACACAUAUAGUCGCAGCCAGGCUUGGCUGGAGCCGCUUCUGCUGCAGUUCAGUUAUUGCCACAAUUGUUGAUAUUAUCACUCCAAUCAAUGAGAUCUGGAUUAGCACCCCAUGUAAGCCCAUGGAGGCAAAUUUUAUUUCUCACCAAAAAUAUAUUUGUAUUCUAUUUUGUUA